GGACGUGAAGGCGAUCUGCCUACAUCAUCUGUCACCUCAUUGAUCACCAGUGUUGAUUUGGCUGAUCUGGCUGGCUAGGCGGGUGUCCCCUUCCUCCCUCACCACUCCAUGUGUGUCUCUCCCAAAGCUGAGUGCUCAGUGGAAGGGGAGGAACAUCCCUGAUAGAGUAGGGCCAGUCUUUGGUCAAGGGUAUAUGAGUAGCUGCGUUCCCCUGCGAGAACCUCCGAACAAGCUCUCAAAAAACAGUGUGCUGGCUUUGGCCCAUAUCUUUGCUUGCAAGCCUGUUUUUAGAU
Molecule: small nuclear RNA, 293 nt
Filed under: Cebus imitator (Panamanian white-faced capuchin)
Lineage: Eukaryota; Metazoa; Chordata; Mammalia; Primates; Cebidae
Description: 7SK RNA (ENSCCAG00000015007.1)
Rfam family: 7SK RNA
About the family: 7SK was discovered as an abundant small nuclear RNA in the mid-70s but a possible function has only recently been suggested. Two independent studies have found that 7SK RNA binds the CDK9/cyclin T complex (known as elongation factor P-TEFb).
Source: Rfam by way of RNAcentral